This 882-nucleotide ribosomal RNA is filed under the name uncultured bacterium. RNAcentral describes it as "bacterial SSU rRNA". It matches the Rfam family "Bacterial small subunit ribosomal RNA", at positions 56 to 931 of the family's 1533-position model. The record is from RNAcentral.
UGCAGUCGAGCGGCAGCGCAGGGGUGCUUGCACCCCGGGCGGCGAGCGGCGGACGGGUGAGUAAUGCAUGGGAAUAUGCCCGACAGAGGGGGAUAACCUUGGGAAACCAAGGCUAAUACCGCAUACGCUCUACGGAGGAAAGCGGGGGAUCUUCGGACCUCGCACUGACGGAGUAGCCCAUGACCGAUUAGCUUGUUGGGGUGGUAACGGCACACCAAGGCGAUGAUCGGUAGCUGGUCUGAGAGGAUGAUCAGCCACACCGGGACUGAGACACGGCCCGGACUCCUACGGGAGGCAGCAGUGGGGAAUAUUGGACAAUGGGGGCAACCCUGAUCCAGCGAUGCCGCGUGAGUGAAGAAGGCCUUCGGGUUGUAAAGCUCUUUCGCGGGGGAAGAAACGGCAGCGGUUAACAACCGCUUGUUACUGACGGUACCCCGACAAGAAGCACCGGCUAACUACGUGCCAGCAGCCGCGGUAAUACGUAGGGUGCGAGCGUUAAUCGGAAUUACUGGCGUAAAGCGUGCGUAGGCGGCCUUGCAAGUCAGAUGUGAAAGCCCCGGGCUUAACCUGGGAACGGCGUUUGAAACUGCGAGGCUGGAGUACGGCAGGGGAAGAUGGAAUUCCAUGUGUAGCGGUGAAAUGCGUAUAUAUAUGGAAGAACACUAAUGGCGAAGGCAUUCUUCUGGGUCGUUACUGACGCUGAGUCACCAAAGCGUGGGGAGCAAACAGGAUUAGAUACCCUGGUAGUCCACGCCCUAAACGAUGUCCGCUAGCUAUUGGGCUUUUGGUUCAGUGGCGAAGCUAACGCGCUAAGCGGACCGCCUGGGGAGUACGGUCGCAAGAUUAAAACUCAAAGGUAUUGACAGGGCACCCGCACAAGCG